GUAGGGUGCGAGCGUUAAUCGGAAUUACUGGGCGUAAAGCGUGCGUAGGCGGUUGGCAAAGUCAGCUGUGAAAGCCCCGGGCUUAACCUGGGAAUUGCGGUUGAAACUAGUCGACUAGAAUUUGGCAGAGGGGGGUGGAAUUCCACGUGUAGCAGUGAAAUGCGUAGAGAUGUGGAGGAACACCGAUGGCGAAGGCAGCCCCCUGGGCUGGAAUUGACGCUCAGGCACGAAAGCGUGGGGAGCAAACAGGAUUAGAUACCCUGGUAGUCCACGCCCUAAACGAUGUCAACUAGGUGUUGGGCGAGCAAUCGCUUGGUACCGCAGCUAACGCGUGAAGUUGACCGCCUGGGGAGUACGGUCGCAAGAUUAAA
Molecule: ribosomal RNA, 371 nt
Filed under: uncultured bacterium
Lineage: Bacteria
Description: bacterial SSU rRNA
Rfam family: Bacterial small subunit ribosomal RNA
Source: RNAcentral